This 239-nucleotide ribosomal RNA is filed under the name uncultured bacterium. Its description in RNAcentral is "partial 16S ribosomal RNA". It matches the Rfam family "Bacterial small subunit ribosomal RNA", at positions 107 to 334 of the family's 1533-position model. The record is from RNAcentral.
UGAGUAACGCGUGGAUAAUCUACCCUCAAGAUGGGGAUAACGGCUGGAAACGGUCGCUAAUACCGAAUACGCUCCCGAUUUUAUCGUUGGGGGGAAAGAUGGCCUCUGCUUGCAAGCUAUCGCUUAAGGAUGAGUCCGCGUCCCAUUAGCUAGUUGGCGGGGUAACGGCCCACCAAGGCAACGAUGGGUAGCCGGUCUGAGAGGAUGACCGGCCACACUGGAACUGGAACACGGUCCAG